GGUAUAGGGAGCUUGCUUCCUGAGACCGGCGCACGGGUGCGUAACGCGUAUGCAAUCUACCUUGUACAGGGGAAUAGCCCAGAGAAAUUUGGAUUAAUGCCCCAUAGUAUUAUUAAAUGGCAUCCUUUAAUAAUUAAAGUUCCAACGGUACAAGAUGAGCAUGCGUCCUAUUAGUUAGUUGGUGUGGUAACGGCAUACCAAGACGAUGAUAGGUAGGGGUCCUGAGAGGGAGAUCCCCCACACUGGUACUGAGACACGGGCCAGACUCCUACGGGAGGCAGCAGUGAGGAAUAUUGGACAAUGGGCGCAAGCCUGAUCCAGCCAUGCCGCGUGCAGGAAGACGGUCCUAUGGAUUGUAAACUGCUUUUAUACAGGAAGAAACACUGGUUCGUGAACCAGCUUGACGGUACUGUAAGAAUAAGGAUCGGCUAACUCCGUGCCAGCAGCCGCGGUAAUACGGAGGAUCCAAGCGUUAUCCGGAAUCAUUGGGUUUAAAGGGUCCGUAGGCGGCCUUAUAAGUCAGUGGUGAAAUCUCCUAGCUCAACUAGGAAAUGGCCAUUGAUACUGUAGGGCUUGAAUUAUUGUGAAGUAACUAGAAUAUGUAGUGUAGCGGUGAAAUGCUUAGAUAUUACAUGGAAUACCAAUUGCGAAGGCAGGUUGCUAACAAUAUAUUGACGCUGAUGGACGAAAGCGUGGGGAGCGAACAGGAUUAGAUACCCUGGUAGUCCACGCCGUAAACGAUGGAUACUAGCUGUUUGGAGCAAUCUGAGUGGCUAAGCGAAAGUGAUAAGUAUCCCACCUGGGGAGUACGAACGCAAGUUUGAAACUCAAAGGAAUUGACGGGGGCCC
This 849-nucleotide ribosomal RNA is filed under the name uncultured bacterium. RNAcentral describes it as "bacterial SSU rRNA". It matches the Rfam family "Bacterial small subunit ribosomal RNA", at positions 66 to 922 of the family's 1533-position model. The record is from RNAcentral.